RNAcentral lists this ribosomal RNA (269 nucleotides) under uncultured prokaryote. RNAcentral's name for it is "partial 16S ribosomal RNA". It matches the Rfam family "Bacterial small subunit ribosomal RNA", at positions 524 to 792 of the family's 1533-position model. The record is from RNAcentral.
UACGGAGGAUCCAAGCGUUAUCCGGAAUCAUUGGGUUUAAAGGGUCCGUAGGUGGAUAAUUAAGUCAGAGGUGAAAUCCUGCAGCUCAACUGUAGAAUUGCCUUUGAUACUGGUUAUCUUGAGUUAUUAUGAAGUAGUUAGAAUAUGUAGUGUAGCGGUGAAAUGCAUAGAUAUUACAUAGAAUACCAAUUGCGAAGGCAGAUUACUAAUAAUCAACUGACACUGAUGGACGAAAGCGUGGGGAGCGAACAGGAUUAGAUACCCGCGUA